Molecule: long non-coding RNA, 422 nt
Organism: Pogonomyrmex barbatus (red harvester ant)
Lineage: Eukaryota; Metazoa; Arthropoda; Insecta; Hymenoptera; Formicidae
Source: RefSeq, a predicted model, not a curated record
AAACAUUGAACAAAAAACUUCCUGAAUCAAUUCAAGAUGGUGAACUCUUUGGAAAGAAACCGAAGAAGAAAAAGAAGAAGAAACAACAACAAUUUAUGCUCGAACAACUGAAUGAGAUAGAAAUAAUAAAGCCUUUAAAGGCGCAGGAGAAACAGAACGGUGUGCAUGAGAAACAGAACGGAUGACAUUAAUUUACGAAUAUCGUCGAUAUUGCAUUUCUUUUCGGGAUUCAUCGGACUGCCAAUCGGACAAUUGAAAGCUUUGCCAAAAUCUUCUGAAUUUGAAACGGAUCCUAUUGCUCUCAACCGUCCAGGACUAUGAUUAUCAUACUUGGCUUUAGAAACAUAUAUAAUUAUCAUGUGAAUGUUUAUCACAUGUACAUUGGCACAAUUUUAUAACAAAUAUAUGUUUAUUUCCGCGAA